GUUAUUUCCUACGAGCAUAUCUGGCGAUUUAACUGAAAACAUCAGAAGAGCCAUUUUGGCGGUCUUUCAGCAGUAGUGCAAUUUUAGUGGCUGCAGUCUCCACAAUCACCAAAGCACUUGGAAUCCAGCAAUGCAUCUGGACCAACUACAUAGACCUACUACCUCCACUGGAAUAUCAUAGCGCUUGUAACCUGGCUGGUCAUCAAGUUGCUCUUUUAAAUAAUACUCAGCUUCAUUUUGGAUGCUGGUCUUCCUCCAAUCACACAGUCUGGUUACGCUCACUUCCCCGCUGCACUCCAUCUGCCUGCCUCCCUGCCACAGCUUCUGGAGCAGUACAUUUUGGAU
Oreochromis aureus is the source of this 345-nucleotide long non-coding RNA. The record is from Ensembl. NCBI's taxonomy places the organism in Eukaryota, Metazoa, Chordata, Actinopteri, Cichliformes, Cichlidae.